This 392-nucleotide non-coding RNA is filed under the name Pan troglodytes (chimpanzee). The record is from RNAcentral. Lineage: Eukaryota; Metazoa; Chordata; Mammalia; Primates; Hominidae.
AGGACCCAGAGGGAGCGGAGCACGCGCCUUCGGGAAUCUUCGGUGCGCCAAGUCUGUUCGCCGCCGGGGUCUAUCACCCCCGCCCCUCGCCUCUGCCCGUGAGCGUCAGCUGGCUUGGCUUUUUCAGAGGAAACAGAGACUCUCAGACAUGAAUACUGUGACACUGACCACCAGGCCAACUUAACAUCAGCAGAUAUCCUGUCUCAGAUGAAGAGGUAUGUUUGGUUUAUUUCUUUUUUUUUUUUUUUCUAUCUACAGAUGAUCCAAUAUAUGUCCUAGAUCCCAUUCAUUCUGCCUCCUCUGGGGCCUUAUUUCAUCAUUUAACCCUCCCUUUUUAUCUUCAGUAUACCCUUUCCCCACCUCCCUCCCCUGGCUUUAUCUGCCCUAUCCAA